AUUGAACGCUGGCGGCAGGCCUAACACAUGCAAGUCGAACGGUAACAGGAAGAAGCUUGCUUCUUUGCUGACGAGUGGCGGACGGGUGAGUAAUGUCUGGGAAACUGCCUGAUGGAGGGGGAUAACUACUGGAAACGGUAGCUAAUACCGCAUAACGUCGCAAGACCAAAGAGGGGGACCUUCGGGCCUCUUGCCAUCGGAUGUGCCCAGAUGGGAUUAGCUAGUAGGUGGGGUAACGGCUCACCUAGGCGACGAUCCCUAGCUGGUCUGAGAGGAUGACCAGCCACUCUGGAACUGAGACACGGUCCAGACUCCUACGGGAGGCAGCAGUGGGGAAUAUUGCACAAUGGGCGCAAGCCUGAUGCAGCCAUGCCGCGUGUAUGAAGAAGGCCUUCGGGUUGUAAAGUACUUUCAGCGGGGAGGAAGGGAGUAAAGUUAAUACCUUUGCUCAUUGACGUUACCCGCAGAAGAAGCACCGGCUAACUCCGUG
RNAcentral lists this ribosomal RNA (490 nucleotides) under uncultured bacterium. RNAcentral's name for it is "partial 16S ribosomal RNA". It matches the Rfam family "Bacterial small subunit ribosomal RNA", at positions 30 to 507 of the family's 1533-position model. The record is from RNAcentral.